AUGGAUCUUAUGCCUGAGUUCGAUGCCGACCCUGUGGAGGAUGAUUUCUAUGGUUUCAGAGACAAUGAGAUCCAGAGGGUUGACAGUAACCAGGCGGAGCUUACCCUUCCGGCCGGCGGCAGCGUCAAUGAGGUUGAGAUGACUAAACAUGACCUCGACAGUGACAAGGAGACGGUUCCCCUUCCGGACGGCAGCAGUUUGGAGCCCAACCCUGUGGAACAGGAUGUCAUUCCUGUUGCCGUACAAGAGGUGGAGGAUCCUUUUGUUGCCCCUCCUGAGGAAAUUGCGCCCCCUUUUAUCUUUGAGGAUGGUGGGAGCACUGAUGUUGAGGAAUAUAUGCUUUGUGCCGAGGAGGAUGUUUUGCUGUAUGCUCAGCGUCUAUCUUUUAAUAACAAGCUCCCACCAUUUUGGCUGGAAAGGGUAGAGGUGAUGCUUACACAGGCUGAUGAGUCAGGUACUCACGCUGACGAGCUGUUGGCAGAAUAUGACAUGCUGGUGCAGGAAUUGGAGCUUGAGAUGGGGUUUCAAGAAGAUCAGUUCUCCGCACUCACCGUUAGUAUGAUUGUGCAUGCUGAUGAAAUGAAUGUACUCUCCAAUGAAUUGUCUGUGGAGACAAAUCGUCACCUUGGUAAUCUGGAUAUUAUCUUUCUUGAGCAUGAGAGGCUGGCCAUUCAGGAGGAUUUUCAGCUAGUGCUUGAAGAUUGCGAUAGGCUCGACAAGGUUGCUUUGGGGCUGAGGAGGUGUGCUGCCUAUUUGACUGAAUGUGUGCAAUACUACCAGCAGCUGCAGGACGGAGAAGAGAAGGGUGACGAGGUUGAGUUUCUUCCACAAGAACAAGAGGCUGCUGAAGUUGUUCUUUUGGAGUUCAAACCAAACGAAGACGAAGAUGAAGACUGGUGGCCGGAGAAUCCACAUUCAGUGCAACAAGUGAAGGAGAAGCAGACUCUGGAAGAGGAGGAAGAGGUUCCUGAGUCAUGGGAAGAUCGCCUGUGA
Molecule: ribosomal RNA, 993 nt
Filed under: Triticum aestivum (bread wheat)
Lineage: Eukaryota; Viridiplantae; Streptophyta; Magnoliopsida; Poales; Poaceae
Description: partial small subunit ribosomal RNA
Source: RNAcentral